Molecule: long non-coding RNA, 361 nt
Organism: Salvia hispanica
Lineage: Eukaryota; Viridiplantae; Streptophyta; Magnoliopsida; Lamiales; Lamiaceae
Source: RefSeq, a predicted model, not a curated record
AUUUUCUCAACGAAGCAAGAGGAGGAAGCAAUCCAUCAGGACCUUUUGUAUAUCAUGAGAGAGACGAAUUCAGCAAGUCCUUUUCACAAUCACACAAAGGUUAUCUUUGCAAGUUAAAGUCGGAGCAAGAAUUUCAAGUUAAGGAAAUUAAACAAAUGAGGUUAAGCGGUGACGACGAGGGCGAUGUUGAGCAGGGAUGGCGAAUGUGUUUCAGUGUGAUAAAUGCUUGGAUGCAUCGUGUCUUCAUACACAGUGUCAUUCUCUCUUGACUCUUCCGAUGCAAUGUAAAUAACGAGCUUAUGUUCCUUUGUAUCAUGUACUCUGAUAUAUUUUGCCAGUUAUUCAAAUUUAAUUUCAUUCA